This 90-nucleotide small nuclear RNA is filed under the name Spermophilus dauricus (Daurian ground squirrel). Lineage: Eukaryota; Metazoa; Chordata; Mammalia; Rodentia; Sciuridae. The record is from RNAcentral.
GCUGCCCUGGCAGCACAUAGAACAAACUGGAAGUAUCCAGAGAAGAUCAUCAUGGUCCUUGCACAAAUUCACGAGGCAUUCCAUAUUUUA